This 1569-nucleotide ribosomal RNA is filed under the name Salinivibrio kushneri. Its description in RNAcentral is "bacterial SSU rRNA". It matches the Rfam family "Bacterial small subunit ribosomal RNA". The record is from RNAcentral. Lineage: Bacteria; Pseudomonadati; Pseudomonadota; Gammaproteobacteria; Vibrionales; Vibrionaceae.
AAAUUGAAGAGUUUGAUCAUGGCUCAGAUUGAACGCUGGCGGCAGGCCUAACACAUGCAAGUCGAGCGGAAACGGCAGCAUUGAAGCUUCGGUGGAUUUGCUGGACGUCGAGCGGCGGACGGGUGAGUAACGGCUGGGAACCUGCCCUGACGCGGGGGAUAACCGUUGGAAACGACGGCUAAUACCGCAUAAUGUCUUAGUUCAUUACGAGCUGGGACCAAAGGUGGCCUCUACAUGUAAGCUAUCGCGUUGGGAUGGGCCCAGUUAGGAUUAGCUAGUUGGUAAGGUAAUGGCUUACCAAGGCAACGAUCCUUAGCUGGUUUGAGAGGAUGAUCAGCCACACUGGGACUGAGACACGGCCCAGACUCCUACGGGAGGCAGCAGUGGGGAAUAUUGCACAAUGGGGGAGACCCUGAUGCAGCCAUGCCGCGUGUGUGAAGAAGGCCUUCGGGUUGUAAAGCACUUUCAGCAGUGAGGAAGGUGGUGUACUUAAUACGUGCACGGCUUGACGUUAGCUGCAGAAGAAGCACCGGCUAACUCCGUGCCAGCAGCCGCGGUAAUACGGAGGGUGCGAGCGUUAAUCGGAAUUACUGGGCGUAAAGCGCAUGCAGGCGGUUUGUUAAGUCAGAUGUGAAAGCCCGGGGCUCAACCUCGGAACCGCAUUUGAAACUGGCAGGCUAGAGUCUUGUAGAGGGGGGUAGAAUUUCAGGUGUAGCGGUGAAAUGCGUAGAGAUCUGAAGGAAUACCAGUGGCGAAGGCGGCCCCCUGGACAAAGACUGACGCUCAGAUGCGAAAGCGUGGGUAGCAAACAGGAUUAGAUACCCUGGUAGUCCACGCCGUAAACGCUGUCUACUUGGAGGUUGAGGUUUAGACUUUGGCUUUCGGCGCUAACGCAUUAAGUAGACCGCCUGGGGAGUACGGCCGCAAGGUUAAAACUCAAAUGAAUUGACGGGGGCCCGCACAAGCGGUGGAGCAUGUGGUUUAAUUCGAUGCAACGCGAAGAACCUUACCUACUCUUGACAUCCAGCGAAGCCUUUAGAGAUAGAGGCGUGCCUUCGGGAGCGCUGAGACAGGUGCUGCAUGGCUGUCGUCAGCUCGUGUUGUGAAAUGUUGGGUUAAGUCCCGCAACGAGCGCAACCCUUAUCCUUGUUUGCCAGCACAUAAUGGUGGGAACUCCAGGGAGACUGCCGGUGAUAAACCGGAGGAAGGUGGGGACGACGUCAAGUCAUCAUGGCCCUUACGAGUAGGGCUACACACGUGCUACAAUGGCAGAUACAGAGGGCAGCGAAGCUGCGAAGUGGAGCGAAUCCCUUAAAGUCUGUCGUAGUCCGGAUUGGAGUCUGCAACUCGACUCCAUGAAGUCGGAAUCGCUAGUAAUCGUGGAUCAGAAUGCCACGGUGAAUACGUUCCCGGGCCUUGUACACACCGCCCGUCACACCAUGGGAGUGGGCUGCACCAGAAGUAGAUAGCUUAACCUUCGGGAGGGCGUUUACCACGGUGUGGUUCAUGACUGGGGUGAAGUCGUAACAAGGUAGCCCUAGGGGAACCUGGGGCUGGAUCACCUCCUUA